UCCNCGUGUGCUCUGAAAACUGGACUUUAGU
RNAcentral lists this non-coding RNA (31 nucleotides) under Mus musculus (house mouse). The record is from RNAcentral. Lineage: Eukaryota; Metazoa; Chordata; Mammalia; Rodentia; Muridae.